Long non-coding RNA from Daphnia pulex (common water flea), 250 nucleotides. RefSeq lists it as uncharacterized. The record is from RefSeq and is a predicted model, not a curated record. The transcript has 3 exons. Lineage: Eukaryota; Metazoa; Arthropoda; Branchiopoda; Diplostraca; Daphniidae.
GAGAACCUUGGAUAACUGAUUGGUGGUUUCAUGUUUUCUAAAUUUCAGGUUUCUAAAUUGGCAUAACAGACAGACUUUAAUGAGAAAUCAUGUCCUUUCAAGAAAAAGACAAGGACUAUACAGUCAACAAGGUUUCUUGUUUUCUAACCGGUGGCUGCUAUCCUUGAAGCUUGAAUCUCCCUUUUUACUUCCUUGCACAGGCCCUCUUGAUUUGAGGGUAAUCCUUCGCUACUUGUCAAUUUGUCAUGGA